This 244-nucleotide unclassified non-coding RNA is filed under the name Hevea brasiliensis (rubber tree). Lineage: Eukaryota; Viridiplantae; Streptophyta; Magnoliopsida; Malpighiales; Euphorbiaceae. The record is from RNAcentral.
UCAAGCCAAUGAAAAUAGUUCUAUUAUCCUUGUCCUUGAUUGCCUCCAAAGUUGCAAGCAUAGCUUCGUCCGAAACAUUCUCUAGCCCAUUAAGCUUCUCAAUGCAAUCCUCCAUUGAAUAUGACUUUUGCUCACGGUUCAGAAGCUCUUUUGCUAUCUGCAAGCACUGCUUACCAAUCUCUAAGAACUCCUUGAACACGUUGGUAUCGGUUGUAGAAGUUGCUUUGCAUGUGCAUGGAGAUGA